RNAcentral lists this ribosomal RNA (253 nucleotides) under uncultured bacterium. RNAcentral describes it as "partial 16S ribosomal RNA". It matches the Rfam family "Bacterial small subunit ribosomal RNA", at positions 524 to 776 of the family's 1533-position model. The record is from RNAcentral.
GACGAAGGAUGCAAGCGUUAUCCGGAUUCAUUGGGUUUAAAGGGUGCGUAGGCGGACUUGUAAGUCAGUGGUGAAAUCUCUCAGCUUAACUGAGAAACUGCCAUUGAUACUGCAGGUCUAGAGUAUAGAUGACGUUGGCGGAAUAUGACAUGUAGUGGUGAAAUGCUUAGAUAUGACAUAGAACACCGAUUGCGAAGGCAGCUCACUACACGAAUAUUGACGCUGAGGCACGAAAGCGUGGGGAUCAAACAGG